CCUACGGGAGGCUGCAGUGGGGGAUAUUGCACAAUGGAGGAAACUCUGAUGCAGCGACGCCGCGUGAGGGAAGACGGUCUUCGGAUUGUUAACCUCUGUCUUUGGGGAAGAAAAUGACGGUACUCAAAGAGGAAGAUCCGGCUAACUACGUGCCAGCAGCCGCGGUAAUACGUCGGGAGCGAGCGUUGUCCGGAAUUACUGGGUGUAAAGGGAGCGUAGGCGGGCGAGAAAGUUGAAGGUUAAAUCUAUGGGCGUAACUGGUAGCUGCGUUCAAAACUGCUUGUCUUGAGUGAAGGAGAGGCAGGCGGAAUGCGUGGUGUAGCGGUGAAAUGCGUAGAUAUUAGGAAGAACCCCAGUGGCGAAGGCGGCCUGCUGGGUCUUAACUGACGCUGAGGCUCGAAAGCGUGGGGAGCGAACAGGAUUAGAUACCCGAGUAGUC
This 439-nucleotide ribosomal RNA is filed under the name uncultured bacterium. Its description in RNAcentral is "partial 16S ribosomal RNA". It matches the Rfam family "Bacterial small subunit ribosomal RNA", at positions 338 to 795 of the family's 1533-position model. The record is from RNAcentral.